This 395-nucleotide ribosomal RNA is filed under the name Craniata sp. RNAcentral describes it as "partial small subunit ribosomal RNA". It matches the Rfam family "Eukaryotic small subunit ribosomal RNA", at positions 582 to 975 of the family's 1831-position model. Lineage: Eukaryota; Metazoa; Chordata. The record is from RNAcentral.
AUUCCAGCUCCAAUAGCGUAUAUUAAAGUUGCUGCAGUUAAAAAGCUCGUAGUUGGAUCUUGUGAGCGGGCGGGCGGUCCGCCGCGAGGCGAGCCACCGCCCGUCCCCGCCCCUUGCCUCUCGGCGCCCCCUCGAUGCUCUUAGCUGAGUGUCCCGCGGGGCCCGAAGCGUUUACUUUGAAAAAAUUAGAGUGUUCAAAGCAGGCCCGAGCCGCCUGGAUACCGCAGCUAGGAAUAAUGGAAUAGGACCGCGGUUCUAUUUUGUUGGUUUUCGGAACUGAGGCCAUGAUUAAGAGGGACGGCCGGGGGCAUUCGUAUUGCGCCGCUAGAGGUGAAAUUCUUGGAUUUGUUAAAGACGGACUACUGCGAAAGCAUCUGCCAUGGAUGUUUUCAUCA